GGUAUUAUUUGUACACAUAUAUCCACCAGGGAAUUACAAGCACCAGUUUAAAACCCAAAGGACUUGGCGGUGCUUUAUAACCAUCUAGAGGAGCCUGUUCUAGAACCGAUAACCCCCGUUAAACCUCACCUUCUCUUGCCUUUUCCGCCUAUAUACCACCGUCGUCAGCUUACCCUUUGAAGGAUAUAAAGUGAGCAAAAAUAGUAUAACUCAAAACGUCAGGUCGAGGUGUAGUUUAUGAGGAGGGAAGAAUGGGCUACAUUUGUCAAAUAGACAUAUAACGAAUAAUUAUAUGAAAUAAUGA
RNAcentral lists this ribosomal RNA (304 nucleotides) under Vanacampus phillipi (Port Phillip pipefish). Its description in RNAcentral is "partial 12S ribosomal RNA". It matches the Rfam family "Bacterial small subunit ribosomal RNA", at positions 875 to 1275 of the family's 1533-position model. The record is from RNAcentral. Lineage: Eukaryota; Metazoa; Chordata; Actinopteri; Syngnathiformes; Syngnathidae.